AGAGUUUGAUCAUGGCUCAGGAUGGACGCUAGCUACAGGCUUAACACAUGCAAGUCGAGGGGAAACGAUAUUGGAAGCUUGCUUCCGAUAGGCGUCGACCGGCGCACGGGUGAGUAACGCGUAUCCAACCUGCCCACCACUUGGGGAUAACCUUGCGAAAGUAAGACUAAUACCCAAUGACGUCUCUAGAAGACAUCUGAAAGAGAUUAAAGAUUUAUCGGUGAUGGAUGGGGAUGCGUCUGAUUAGCUUGUUGGCGGGGUAACGGCCACCAAGGCUACGAUCAGUAGGGGUUCUGAGAGGAAGGUCCCCCACAUUGGAACUGAGACACGGUCCCAAACUCCGUACGGGAGGCA
RNAcentral lists this ribosomal RNA (354 nucleotides) under uncultured bacterium. Its description in RNAcentral is "bacterial SSU rRNA". It matches the Rfam family "Bacterial small subunit ribosomal RNA", at positions 8 to 350 of the family's 1533-position model. The record is from RNAcentral.